Mangifera indica (mango) is the source of this 1510-nucleotide long non-coding RNA. RefSeq lists it as uncharacterized. NCBI's taxonomy places the organism in Eukaryota, Viridiplantae, Streptophyta, Magnoliopsida, Sapindales, Anacardiaceae. The record is from RefSeq and is a predicted model, not a curated record. The transcript has 4 exons.
AUCUAAACUAUAAAACCGAAGCAAAUAUUUUUAUCAAAAUUAAAUAAUAUUUAAUAGAAAAUAAAAUUCCAUACUCAAAUUUGUAGAGAACUUGUCAAAAUCCCUAACCCACAGAAUUUGUCAAAUGUUGGCUUCCUCUGUUGAUGAGUCCGCCGUCUCAAAUUUCUCCCCUCCAACGUCUCAAAUGUCACCUCACCGGCGCUCAAAAUCUCGGUGAACUCUCCAGAACUCUUCUUCGAAUCGUUUGUGCAUCGAACUGUUUGUCUUCAUCAUUGCAUUGACGACGGUCGACGGGAACUCGUCUUCUCUCCGGCGUCUCUCCCAUCAUGUGUUGGCAUUGUUCAUGCUAUCAAUAAGCUUCAUAGUGAUCCACCAGGCUUGAACUUUGCUGUAUCCCUUCACGCACCUGUUCGAGAGUUUGCUGCCAGAUAAUGCCUGCAGCUCGAGCUUUUCCUCUGGAAAAUCUUAUGAAUGCACUUCAUGUAUAUCAAAAGAAUAAGUUGCAAUUGAUUCACAAAUGUUUCUUGAAAAUUAAUUUGCAAUUCUCUCUCUGUGACUCGCCCCCUGUCUUUUUGUGAAAUAUUUCAGAUUUUAACUCAUUUUUUAAUCUUAAACUUUCAGUCAGCAGAAAAUAUUUAUUGAGUACAUCAUGGUGGAUAAGGUGAAUGAUGAAGAGCCACAUGCUCACCAGCUUGGCAAACUGCUAGAGACAUAUCAAGUGGUUGAGACUUCAAAUCAUUGUCACUAUCAAGAUUCAGUAAGCAAUCCAUGGUGGUGUCAGAAAGCCUUCUUGGAAGUAGCACAGAGCGAUUGAGAACAUCAACAAACCAAGUUUCUGAUUUUGCAUCAUCAAGAAGCAAUCCCAUAGAGGCUGCUGUUUCAGGCUUGUUGAAGAAAAGAAACAAACAAAUCCGUGUAGAAGAUAAAGAAGUUGACGCUGAUGUUAUCCGGUCAUAUUCUUUGAGACAAGAGAAUCAAGGUCUUCAUUAGCAAGCUGGUAUUUUAUUGAGAAGCUUCGGCCAUGGAGAAGAGAGAGAGGUGGGUGCAAAGAGAGGAUCGUGAUGAGUGGCGGUGAACCACCACAAGACUGUUAGCCCAAAUGCGGUUUGCUGCGAGUUUAGAAGGAGAAUUUUAGAUAGGUGGUGUGCAUGUUUUUUGAUUCUUAGAGAGGCAGCUGCAACUUGUAUAAGGCUGGAGCAAAAUUGUGGAAUCUUUUGGAGAGGGAGAUUUCUAGAGAGAUAGACUGUGCAUUUACUCAACAGAGAUGUGUGUUGCCGACUAUGCAGUUGAGGGAUUUGUCGUGGGGCCUGGGAUAAUAUGACCGCCAAAGCUGCACAUUAGUAGGAGUUUGGCAUCAGGGACUGGUGGCAGGGGGUCAUCACUUGCCUGCCCUUUGCCAUCCCUAGUCCCACUCUGCUCACAUAAUCGGCCUUUUUGGAAGACUGAUGAUAACUGCUAGAGAAGCUUGGAGGGCAUGUUGCCUGCAAAUUAUAUCCUAAUAACUGCAAGA